AUGUCAGAUGGCUGGUCCGAUAGAACGGGACGCCACUUGAUCAACUUCCUUGUAAACAGCCCGGCGGGCACUUACUUCUUGGAGUUGGUUGGUGCAUCAAGUGAAUGCCAAGAUGCUCGGAUGAUAGCAGAUUUACUAGAGAAGAGAAUCGAGGAUGUCGAUAAAGAGUAUGGUGUCCAAGUUGUCACCGACAAUGGUGCUAACUACAAGGCAGCGGGCAAGAUACUAAUGCAAAGGAUUCCUACACUAUAUUUGAGUCCAGAUGCAUGCCAUUGCUUGGACCUAAUGUUGGAAGAUAUAGGGAAGCUAAAGGCAUUUAAGAAGCCUAUUGGACGGGGUAGACGAGUCACCACUUUCAUCUAUAGGCAUUGCAGAUUUCUUAAUCUAAUGAGGAAGGCAACGGGUGGGCUGGAUCUUGUGAGACCCGCAGCCACUCGCUUUGCCACAUCCAUUCUUGCUCUUAAGAGUUUGGUCAAGCACAAGCAAGCAUUGAGGAGUCUAUUUACAUGUCAAGCAUGGGUUGGAAACAAAUUGGCCAAAAUUGCAGCCGAUAUGAAUGUGCAAGACAUUGUGCUUUCACCAGAUUGGUGGCAUGCAAUUGAGGACUGCCUUAGAGCUUCAGGUCCACUACUUCGAUUGCUUAGGGUAGCGGAUGGUGAUGAGAUUCCUGCCAUGCCAGAAAUGACAACACUAAUGAGGUUUGCAAAGGAGAAGAUCAAUCAAGGUUUUCCCCACCAAAACAAGCAAGCUUUGCUCAAGAAGAUCAUUGACAUUGUUGACAAACAUUGGGAGCAUCAGAUGGAUCAUCCAUUGUAUGGGGCUGCUUUGUUUUUGAACCCUGGAAAAUACUUCUCUAUUGUUGAGAGUGGUGAUGAUGCCCUAAUUGGGGAGCUAAAAAGUUGUUUUAAUGAUGUCCUUGCACGGACAAUACUUGAUGUCAAUACUCACAACAAGAUUGAUGCACAAGCCGUUCUCUAUGAGGACAAGGGAGGACCCUUCGCUAAUCUGAUGGUAAUCGAUAACAUGGUCCAAAAAAACCCUCUUGAUUGGUGGCGUUCAUAUGGUGGUUGGGCAGCUGAGCUACAAAGGUUUGCAAAGCAUACUGUUAGUCUUUGUGCUUCAUCAUCCGGUUGUGAGAGGAAUUGGAGCGCAUUUGAACAUAUCCAUACCAAGAAAAGGAACCGGUUACAACACCGAAUCUUGAAUGAUAAUGUAUUUGUUUCAUACAUCCGGAAGAACAUGGAUAGGUUUCAAAAGAGGCGUGAGAAGAUGGGUGACAAUGGCUAUGGCCCUCUAGUCAUCGAGGAUUUUGAUUGUAGCAAUGAGUGGGUUGACCCAACAAUAUCUCCACCCCAAGGUGCUCGAGGGUGUCCCGAUGACAUUUCAUGGGAGCUUGUUGAUGAGGCUCGUCACUGCAAGGUCGCAACUUUCCUAGAGCUAGCACCAUGGCAAGGGGGCCCUCAAAUGUUAAUGUCCAGUACCAAAGGCAGCACAAAAGGGCUGCUAUGUCUCCAACAUUUCUUUAUGAAGAUGACGAAGAGGAUGACCAAGAACAACAAUCAAGUAUUCCCAAUGGAGACGAUGAUGAUUCAGACUUUGUUCAAGAUGAUGUUGAUGUGA
Molecule: ribosomal RNA, 1620 nt
Filed under: Triticum aestivum (bread wheat)
Lineage: Eukaryota; Viridiplantae; Streptophyta; Magnoliopsida; Poales; Poaceae
Description: partial small subunit ribosomal RNA
Source: RNAcentral